RNAcentral lists this ribosomal RNA (99 nucleotides) under uncultured bacterium. RNAcentral describes it as "partial 16S ribosomal RNA". It matches the Rfam family "Bacterial small subunit ribosomal RNA", at positions 1384 to 1482 of the family's 1533-position model. The record is from RNAcentral.
UACACACCGCCCGUCACACCAUGGGAGUUGGUUCUACCUUAAGCAGGUGCGGCAACCGCAAGGGGCUAGCUUGCCACGGUAGGGUCAGUGACUGGGGUG